AUGGGGCUGAAACACUUCCAACUUACCCUCUGGCUGAGUGGCGCGCGGGCCCGGGCGGGAGCGAGGGAGGGCCGGCUGGGAGGGCGGGGCGGUCUCGCUUCUCUAAGUAAUGCCCGAGGAGCAGUGCCCCUUCCACCGCCCCCUCAUUGCCCCCCGGAGCCGGGGGUUCGGGGAGGCGGCUGCACCGGGCCUCCCGGAACGGAGCGGAGCAGGCAGGUUAAUGAGCAGGGUGGAGGAGGCACGGCGAGGCCCCGCACCCUCUCUGCGCCCGCGGCCAGGGCGCAGCGGGCGAGGCUUGGGAGCGGGAUGGGGCUGGCGGCAGCGGCGGCUCCCCCACCUACUUGCUGGGGGCGAGGCGCGGGGGCCUGGGGCCAGCCGCAAGGCUCCCAGCUCUCUUUCCGACUCUUGCAAAGGAGCGAAACACGCCCCACGUCAGCCUCAUCCCUUUCGACUUUUCCAACAGCUACUUUUAAGCUGUCAUUAAAGACCUGGGGCGCUCCCCGUAGGUCUGGGGCAAGUCCGCGCCGGUCCAGUCAGCCUGGGGAAGGAGCGAAGGCAGAAAGACUGGGAGGGGCGAGUGGGAGGGGAGACGCGGGGGAGAGGCGCUCGGGACCCCAGGGACCCCUCCCCACCCGCCCAGGCCACCGCCCUCCUGCCUCGAAGCAAACUAACACAACUCCCGACGGCGAGGCGCUCCGCCUGGUCGGAGCGGGCAACGCCAGUCCCUAA
This 729-nucleotide long non-coding RNA is filed under the name Capra hircus (goat). RNAcentral describes it as "lncRNA (ENSCHIG00010021896.1)". Lineage: Eukaryota; Metazoa; Chordata; Mammalia; Artiodactyla; Bovidae. The record is from RNAcentral.